GACGAACCACACAAACAUUAUUCGGAAUUACUGGGCUUAAAGGGUGCGUAGGCUGCGCGGAAAGUUGGGUGUGAAAUACCUCGGCUCAACCGAGGAACUGCGCCCAAAACUACCGUGCUCGAGGAAGAUAGAGGUGAGCGGAACUUACGGUGGAGCGGUGAAAUGCGUUGAUAUCGUAAGGAACACCUGUGGCGAAAGCGGCUCACUGGGUCUUUUCUGACGCUGAUGCACGAAAGCUAGGGGAGCAAACGGG
Molecule: ribosomal RNA, 253 nt
Filed under: uncultured bacterium
Lineage: Bacteria
Description: partial 16S ribosomal RNA
Rfam family: Bacterial small subunit ribosomal RNA
Source: RNAcentral